RNAcentral lists this transfer RNA (74 nucleotides) under Bacteroidetes bacterium ADurb.Bin041. RNAcentral's name for it is "tRNA-Gly". It matches the Rfam family "tRNA". From Rfam's summary of the family: Transfer RNA (tRNA) molecules are approximately 80 nucleotides in length. Their secondary structure includes four short double-helical elements and three loops (D, anti-codon, and T loops). The record is from RNAcentral. Lineage: Bacteria; Pseudomonadati; Bacteroidota.
GCGGGAUUAGUGUUCAAUGGCAGCACGUUAGCCUUCCAAGCUAAAAGUAGGGGUUCAAAUCUCCUAUUCCGCUC